Molecule: long non-coding RNA, 1306 nt
Organism: Corythoichthys intestinalis (scribbled pipefish)
Lineage: Eukaryota; Metazoa; Chordata; Actinopteri; Syngnathiformes; Syngnathidae
Exons: 3
Source: RefSeq, a predicted model, not a curated record
GAACAGACUUUCAUCCUCCCAAACCAACACACUGAUGGCACACACAAUGCAGUGAAUGUAUUUAUGUAUUCACAUCUGAACCUGGUACAAAAAAUGGGUUCAAACCCCUCUGAGCAGCAUGUUUAUCUCAAACGGAAGGAGGCGAGUAACAAAAGCCACACGUUAGCUGUUGCUUUUUGUUCGGUUAGCCAGGCUAGGACACUACUCCAAUCAAUAAAUCAGCAAAUCAAAAAAGGCAAGCAAAUUGUUUCUGUAUAACAAAAUAUCACGAAUGUACAGUUAAAAGGACUUUCAAACACAAACACAUUGUUUCUUUCACACGCUAGCUCUGGAGGCUACCAACCAUUUGUGCUGGCUGGACACUAAAAAGUGCUCACUCACACGCGUUAUUUGUAUUACUUUCUCAUUCUACAUACCCCAGCAAGAUACAGCAAUGCUCCCAGAUGUCGAAGACGCCUUCGCCUGAUGGCCUUUCGUCGAUUCGACGCAGAUAUUUGUAAAAAUAGCUUCAUAGCCAAGGAGAGUGUGGGCACCACAGCAGUAGGCGUGUCUGUUUGGUUCCGUCGCUUUUUGAUGACGUCACAACUGGCGGAAUGGACUUAUGACGUACUUGAGUGUGAAGGGGUGUCCCAAUUCGUAGGGCUAACGUUUCAAGCCCUACCCCUUAUUGCUCCGUUUGAAGGGCCAAGGGGUAGGGGUAAGGGGUAGGGCCAAGGGGUGAAAUGGGAUUCACCCUAAUGCUUCGUGAAAAUUUCUAAUUUUUGCGAUAAACUCAUUUUAGCCUCUCCCAGUUAAAACGGAUUGGACAUCUAUCGCCUACAAUGGCAGUGAUUGGUGGCGUCCAGGUGUUUUCCUAGCAGAGCGCUGUGAUGAAUAUUCAGGCUCUCUCUCUCUGGAUUCAGCUCGUCUCCAAUCACCAGGAUAUCACAGUAGUCCAGUGAGAGCUUGUCGGACGUUUCCUCUCACAUCUGCUGAAGCCGUCCCCCUUCAUGACGGUACUGGUGAUGGAAAGCUCCUUGAAAGGCGCCACGCCCAAGGGAGCGCGAAGGUCAGCGGCAGGCCUGACCAGCCGAUCGGAACCAGUGAUGGUGAUUCGGGGUUCGCUGGGGGGUUGAACCAUGACGACCGCCCUGACGUCGGGGACGGAGAGACACGCCUCCUCCCCGAAACAUCUGACGAGCAGCAGUUAGAAAAUGGCAUCAGACGAAUUCUGAUACUGUGCUAAAUAUUUUUCAUAAAGAUUAAAAUUAAUGAGUUAAACUGUUUUUAUGUGUCUCAUGCAUAAUAAUAAUUUUCAUAGUUGAUU